RNAcentral lists this unclassified non-coding RNA (364 nucleotides) under Stauracanthus genistoides. Its description in RNAcentral is "partial contains external transcribed spacer and 18S ribosomal RNA". Lineage: Eukaryota; Viridiplantae; Streptophyta; Magnoliopsida; Fabales; Fabaceae. The record is from RNAcentral.
UGUUCACUCGUGGUUCUUGUGUUGCCUACCCGUUUAGCGGUAUUAAUGUGCCUCUUAAGACCCGUUCCAUCCAGACCCCUUCUUGGGGCUUCUGGGGAGUUCGAAAGUGAUGCAUGUUUUGCGUUAGCUGUGCAUUGUAACGGCUGGCGUGCUAACAUGUGUCUACUGUUCCCUCGGAUGCUGUGCACGCGGUGAACGUGGGCUGACGAUUGUGCCCCGUUGAGUCCCUUUGAAUUAUCGGUUGCCUUGAAUGACACUCUGUCGUAGUGCUGGUGUUGUUUACCAUUCGUGGUGUCAACACUAGUACGUCGAGCAGAGUCGUUGAUGGAUGCUACCUGGUUGAUCCUGCCAGUAGUCAUAUGCU